AUUGAACGCUGGCGGCAGGCCUAACACAUGCAAGUCGAGCGGAGGAAGGGAGCUUGCUCCUGGAUUCAGCGGCGGACGGGUGAGUAAUGCCUAGGAAUCUGCCUGGUAGUGGGGGAUAACGUCCGGAAACGGGCGCUAAUACCGCAUACGUCCUGAGGGAGAAAGUGGGGGAUCUUCGGACCUCACGCUAUCAGAUGAGCCUAGGUCGGAUUAGCUAGUUGGUGGGGUAAAGGCCUACCAAGGCGACGAUCCGUAACUGGUCUGAGAGGAUGAUCAGUCACACUGGAACUGAGACACGGUCCAGACUCCUACGGGAGGCAGCAGUGGGGAAUAUUGGACAAUGGGCGAAAGCCUGAUCCAGCCAUGCCGCGUGUGUGAAGAAGGUCUUCGGAUUGUAAAGCACUUUAAGUUGGGAGGAAGGGCAGUAAGUUAAUACCCUGCUGUUUUGACGUUACCAACAGAAUAAGCACCGGCUAACUUCGUG
RNAcentral lists this ribosomal RNA (484 nucleotides) under uncultured bacterium. RNAcentral's name for it is "partial 16S ribosomal RNA". It matches the Rfam family "Bacterial small subunit ribosomal RNA", at positions 30 to 507 of the family's 1533-position model. The record is from RNAcentral.